UACGAAAGGAGCAGGUGUUAUUCAGAUUAACUGGGCGUAAAGCGUCUGUAGGUGGCUUUUUAAGUCCGCCGUCAAAUCCCAGGGCUCAACUCUGGACAGGCGGUGGAAACUACUAAGCUGGAGUACGGUAGGGGCAGAGGGAAUUUCCGGUGGAGCGGUGAAAUGCGUAGAGAUCGGAAAGAACACCAACGGCGAAAGCACUCUGCUGGGCCGACACUGACACUGAGAGACGAAAGCUAGGGGAGCGAAUGGG
This 253-nucleotide ribosomal RNA is filed under the name uncultured bacterium. Its description in RNAcentral is "partial 16S ribosomal RNA". It matches the Rfam family "Bacterial small subunit ribosomal RNA", at positions 524 to 776 of the family's 1533-position model. The record is from RNAcentral.